AGACGCGCAAGGAUGUUCCCGUGCCCCCACAAGAUACACAGACGAGUUCCUGCAGGGUGACUGCCAGAUUUCAGCCAGCGGCAAACCCAGCGGCGGCAGGAACUCGGAGCGCUCCCUAACCUCGCGGGGCAGCGGGGACCCAGCGCCCUGGCCUCCUCGGGCGCCCCGGCAGGGCGCGCGCCAGGUCCCAGGCCGGCGCGGGGCCCCAGGACCCUUAUCUUCUUCGUCUUGGGUAUCCUGCUGCCGGUCCCAGCUGCCUCAGCCACGACCACCGAGCAGGACAGAAUUCACUGCAAUUAGCUGCCCCUCUGGGAAGUGCAGCCCCUGGGAGGGUUGUGUCCACCAGGUGCCUACUGGAUGCCCUCUGUGUGCCAGGCACCAUGCUAGGGGAGGGCACGAGGCCCCUGCCCUUGGGGCUCUCCUUCUGGGAUGGUCCACACAGAGGAUGCAUGUGACAAUCAGAGGCGUGAUAAGAACUGUUACGGACCAAACUGUGGCCCCCUCACCUCAGAUUCAUAUGUUGAAGCUCUAACCCCUAGUUCCUUAGAAUGUGUGGGUGUUUGGAUAUAGGGUGUUUAAAGAGGUGAUUAAGGUAAAAUGAGGCUGGUAGAGUAGGCCCUAUUUCAAUCUGACUGGUGUUCUUACAAGAAGAAAAAAUUUAGACUCACAGACAGACACUACAGGCACAUGUGCAAAGAGGGAGGGCCCACCAUCUGAAGAGGCAGCAAGAUGGCGGCCAUUUGAAUGCCAAGGAGAGAAGCUUCACAGGAACCCACCCUGCCGUGAC
Molecule: long non-coding RNA, 787 nt
Filed under: Equus caballus (horse)
Lineage: Eukaryota; Metazoa; Chordata; Mammalia; Perissodactyla; Equidae
Description: lncRNA (ENSECAG00000030167.3)
Source: RNAcentral